UACGGAGGGUGCAAGCGUUAUCCGGAUUCACUGGGUUUAAAGGGUGCGUAGGUGGGCAGGUAAGUCAGUGGUGAAAUCUCCGGGCUUAACUCGGAAACUGCCAUUGAUACUAUCUGUCUUGAAUACCGUGGAGGUCAGCGGAAUAUGUCAUGUAGCGGUGAAAUGCUUAGAUAUGACAUAGAACACCAAUUGCGUAGGCAGCUUACUACACGAUCAUUGACGCUGAGGCACGAAAGCGUGGGGAGCAAACAGG
RNAcentral lists this ribosomal RNA (253 nucleotides) under uncultured bacterium. RNAcentral's name for it is "partial 16S ribosomal RNA". It matches the Rfam family "Bacterial small subunit ribosomal RNA", at positions 524 to 776 of the family's 1533-position model. The record is from RNAcentral.